GCCAUAUCACGUUGAAACACCGGUUCCCGCACGAUCACCGAAGUUAAGCACCAUCGAACCUGGUCAAUAACUAGAGGGGUGACCACUUAGGAAUAUCAGAUGUUGUAAG
Acanthosepion pharaonis is the source of this 109-nucleotide non-coding RNA. Lineage: Eukaryota; Metazoa; Mollusca; Cephalopoda; Sepiida; Sepiidae. The record is from the annotation of a GenBank genome assembly.